Molecule: Y RNA, 109 nt
Filed under: Propithecus coquereli (Coquerel's sifaka)
Lineage: Eukaryota; Metazoa; Chordata; Mammalia; Primates; Indriidae
Description: Y RNA (ENSPCOG00000011452.1)
Rfam family: Y RNA
About the family: Y RNAs are components of the Ro ribonucleoprotein particle (Ro RNP), in association with Ro60 and La proteins. The Y RNAs and Ro60 and La proteins are well conserved, but the function of the Ro RNP is not known.
Source: Rfam by way of RNAcentral
GGCUGGUCUGAAGGUAAUUAUCUCAAUCGAUUGUUCACAGUCAGUUACAGAUUGAACUCCUUGUUCUAUUCUUUUCCUCCUUCUCACUACAGUACUUGACUAGUCUUUU